Molecule: long non-coding RNA, 289 nt
Organism: Melitaea cinxia (Glanville fritillary)
Lineage: Eukaryota; Metazoa; Arthropoda; Insecta; Lepidoptera; Nymphalidae
Exons: 3
Source: RefSeq, a predicted model, not a curated record
AAAACGUUAUUACGUGACGAAAUUUGCCAAAAGGGAUAUCACAUUCGAAGGAGCACAGCUUUACAACAAAUUACCUUGUCUAAUAAAAGAUGUAAGCUCAGUUAACGAAUUUAAAUCUCGGCUUUCGCAAUAUAUUCUCAAUAACACUUUGUCGUUAGAAGAAACCAUUUAAACUAUUCGUUAACUGAGCACUAGGAUUUAUAAGACGACGAUAUGUAUGUUUUACUUUUAUUGUAGUGUAUUGUUCUCAUGUAAGUGACAUUGUCUUUUUGAGAAUAAAGUUCUUUAA